GUCUAUGGCCAUGCCACCCUGAACCAGCCUGAUCCCAUCUGAUCUCAGAAGCUGAGCAGAGUCGGGCCUGGUUAGUACUUGGAUGGGUGGCCACCUAGGAAGACGAGGUGCUGUAGGUG
Non-coding RNA from Pteropus alecto (black flying fox), 119 nucleotides. The record is from Rfam. Lineage: Eukaryota; Metazoa; Chordata; Mammalia; Chiroptera; Pteropodidae.